Long non-coding RNA from Frieseomelitta varia, 1007 nucleotides. RefSeq lists it as uncharacterized. Lineage: Eukaryota; Metazoa; Arthropoda; Insecta; Hymenoptera; Apidae. The record is from RefSeq and is a predicted model, not a curated record. The transcript is spliced from 4 exons.
UCCUAUGUUCUUUGCUGAAUUUUCGUUUCUUUAAGUUCUUUUUUUUCUUUGUCUUUUGUAGGCUGUACCUACGUUUUUGUUGGCAGUAUCGGUUUUAUUGUGUAUCUGUCUAUCAGUGGAUUGGAUCAUCAACAUAACCAGAAAUGAUGCAAGAGAGAUGGCGAUUUUAAAAGUCAACCUAGCUAUCUCUAGCUACGUAGGAAUUAAGAAGCAGUAAUAAUUACUAAUCAGCUACAAAAUUUAUUUAAUCGUGCAAACAGCCGAAGGAGAGAAGUGGCUUAGUGUACAAAUAAAACGCACAGUGGGUACCUGCUACCAUCGAUAAAUCGGCAACAUCUGGAAACAGUUCUAAGAUCAUAGGGCAAGAAUCGUGGGAGAUUUCUCGAGGAAUUGUUAUUUUUGAUCUGCAGUGACUUUAACAUUAAAAUAAAAAGCGAAGAAAUAAUAGAGUGAAUAGGUAAUACAUUGCCUACUUGGAAUUUUGUAGGUAGAUAAAUUAAAUAUUUAAAAAUGUCGAUGACGUUCGAUUGGAAAAGUAAAGAAGAAUUUUCAAUGCAGGUGCAACUUGUAAUAAUCCAGGGAAGCAGAGAAUCGUGUAUAUUCGGUUUAUAAUUGCACGGGUCGCGUAAACGGGAGCGCACGCGGAGGGAUUGGCUGAUACUUUAAAAGCAGGUGUGCAUUACCAUAGCUAUUGGUUUAUUGAUUUAUCCAUCGGCGCGUACGUACGCUUUGAGUGGCUGAUAUGCCAGAGUAAAAAAUGGUCCGUGUCGGUGUAGAUCGACGAUAUCGACGAAUACCGUUUCGCGUUACGGGCUUUUAAUGUUGCUCAAACCGUCAUUGCGUUCUCACUAAUGACGCACGAGCGUGGAUUAAUCGGUUCGUAACCGCGCUGAAACGUGCCAUCCACUGAAGAGCGCACGGUCAAACGCAUUACUUUCAUUUUAUCAAUUUUCUGUUCUGCCAACUAUCCAAUACAGUGACAUACAGUGAAAGACCAAAGUACCUGU